Molecule: ribosomal RNA, 517 nt
Filed under: uncultured bacterium
Lineage: Bacteria
Description: bacterial SSU rRNA
Rfam family: Bacterial small subunit ribosomal RNA
Source: RNAcentral
GAACGCUGGCGGCGUGCCUAAUACAUGCAAGUCGAACGGCUUUUCUAUGGAAGCUUGCUUCCACUGAGAAGAUAGUGGCGAACGGGUGAGUAACACGUGGGGUAACCUGCCCAUAAGAGGGGGGAUAACAUCCGGAAACGGGUGCUAAUACCGCAUAGUUUUCUUGAUCGCAUGAUUGAGAAAGGAAAGACGGCCUUUGUGCUGUCGCUUAUGGAUGGACCCGCGGCGUAUUAGUUAGUUGGUGAGGUAAUGGCUCACCAAGACGAUGAUACGUAGCCGACCUGAGAGGGUGAUCGGCCACAUUGGGACUGAGACACGGCCCAAACUCCUACGGGAGGCAGCAGUAGGGAAUCUUCCGCAAUGGACGAAAGUCUGACGGAGCAACGCCGCGUGAGUGAAGAAAAGGUUUUCGGAUCGUAAAACUCUGUUGUCAGAGAAGAACAAGUUGGAGAGUAACUGCUCCAGCCUUGACGGUAUCUGACCAGAAAGCCACGGCUAACUACGUGCCAGCCGCUGC